AUGUGAAUUGCAGAAUUCAGUGAAUCAUCGAAUCUUUGAACGCACCUUGCGCCCCUUGGUAUUCUGAGGGGCACACCCGUUUGAGUGUCGUGAACACAUCCUCAACCUUCUUUUGGUUUUUUUAUUUUUAAUUUAAUUUAAAAACCAGGGAAGGCUUGGACUUUGGAGGUUUUUCAUUGCUGGUAUCCUUUCAAGGUCCAGCUCCUCUUAAAUGAAUCAGUGGGGUCCACUUUGCUGAUCCUUGACGUGAUAAGCAUUAUUCUACUUCUUGGGUUUUCGCAGUGUCACCGUGGAACCUGCUUCAAACCGUCUUUGAAACAAAGACAAUGUUCGGGUUUUAACUCGACCCACAAAACCUUGACCUCAAAUCGGGUGAGACUACCCGCUGAACUUAAGCAUAUCAAUAAGCGGAGGAAAAGAAACUAACAAGGAUUCCCCUAGUAACUGCGAGUGAAGCGGGCCAAGCUCACAUUUAAAAUCUGGUGGCCUUCGGUCAUCCGAGUUGUAAUUUAGAGAAGCGUCUUCCGCGCUGAACCGUGCACAAGUCUCCUGGAAUGGAGCGUCAUAGAGGGUGAGAAUCCCGUCUUUGGCACGGAACAUCAGGGCUUCUGUGAUGCGCUCUCGACGAGUCGAGUUGUUUGGGAAUGCAGCUCAAAAUGGGUGGUGAACUCCAUCUAAAGCUAAAUAUUGGCGAGAGACCGAUAGCGAACAAGUACCGUGAGGGAAAGAUGAAAAGCACUUUGGAAAGAGAGUGAAACAGUACGUGAAAUUGUUGAAAGGGAAACGCUUGAAGUCAGUCGCGUCGACCGAGACUCAACCUUGCCUUGGCUUGGUGUACUUCUCGGCUGACGGGUCAGCAUCAAUUUUGAUCCUUGGAUAAUGGCAAGGGAAAGGUAGCACCUUUUUAGGUGUGUUAUAGUCCUUCGUCGCAUACGGGGGUUGGGAUUGAGGAACUCAGCACGCACCUCUCGGUGUCGGGGCCUCGGCCCACGCUACGUGCUUAGGAUGCUGGCGUAAUGGCUU
Molecule: ribosomal RNA, 1023 nt
Filed under: uncultured Russula
Lineage: Eukaryota; Fungi; Basidiomycota; Agaricomycetes; Russulales; Russulaceae
Description: eukaryotic LSU rRNA
Rfam family: Eukaryotic large subunit ribosomal RNA (bases 359-1023)
Source: RNAcentral